CUAUAGCUCAGUGGUAGAGCGUCAGUCUUGUAAACUGAAGGUCCGUAG
Molecule: non-coding RNA, 48 nt
Organism: Oryza meridionalis
Lineage: Eukaryota; Viridiplantae; Streptophyta; Magnoliopsida; Poales; Poaceae
Source: Rfam